GUCAACUACCCCGCCCUCAAGGGUGGAGCUUAUAAAGGCUAGGUUGACCAGACUAAGCCGCUAGUAGUAGUGGCUACGCCAUAUCGAGGUCGUUAAGACUUACCAGCAGAUGCUUCCUGAGUCUGCUGCUCUAAAAGACUUUAAUCAAGCUGGGGCAAGGUAAAACCCCGAAGGUUUUAGUCGUUGUUCCUAAAGAACCAGAGCCGCUGUAUGGCAUUGUCGAAGGGAGAUUGU
This is a non-coding RNA of Thioploca ingrica, 234 nucleotides long. It matches the Rfam family "HNH endonuclease-associated RNA and ORF (HEARO) RNA". Lineage: Bacteria; Pseudomonadati; Pseudomonadota; Gammaproteobacteria; Thiotrichales; Thiotrichaceae. The record is from Rfam.